This 2900-nucleotide ribosomal RNA is filed under the name Klebsiella pneumoniae. RNAcentral describes it as "bacterial LSU rRNA". It matches the Rfam family "Bacterial large subunit ribosomal RNA". The record is from RNAcentral. Lineage: Bacteria; Pseudomonadati; Pseudomonadota; Gammaproteobacteria; Enterobacterales; Enterobacteriaceae.
UUAAGCGACUAAGCGUACACGGUGGAUGCCCUGGCAGUCAGAGGCGAUGAAGGACGUGCUAAUCUGCGAAAAGCGUCGGUAAGGUGAUAUGAACCGUUAUAGCCGGCGAUGUCCGAAUGGGGAAACCCAGUGCAAUUCGUUGCACUAUCGUUAACUGAAUACAUAGGUUAACGAGGCGAACCGGGGGAACUGAAACAUCUAAGUACCCCGAGGAAAAGAAAUCAACCGAGAUUCCCCCAGUAGCGGCGAGCGAACGGGGAGCAGCCCAGAGUCUGAAUCAGCUUGUGUGUUAGUGGAACGGUCUGGAAAGUCCGACGGUACAGGGUGAUAGUCCCGUACACCAAAAUGCACAGGUUGUGAACUCGAAGAGUAGGGCGGGACACGUGGUAUCCUGUCUGAAUAUGGGGGGACCAUCCUCCAAGGCUAAAUACUCCUGACUGACCGAUAGUGAACCAGUACCGUGAGGGAAAGGCGAAAAGAACCCCGGCGAGGGGAGUGAAAAAGAACCUGAAACCGUGUACGUACAAGCAGUGGGAGCACCUUCGGGUGUGACUGCGUACCUUUUGUAUAAUGGGUCAGCGACUUAUAUUCUGUAGCAAGGUUAACCGUAUAGGGGAGCCGCAGGGAAACCGAGUCUUAACUGGGCGUUAAGUUGCAGGGUAUAGACCCGAAACCCGGUGAUCUAGCCAUGGGCAGGUUGAAGGUUGGGUAACACUAACUGGAGGACCGAACCGACUAAUGUUGAAAAAUUAGCGGAUGACUUGUGGCUGGGGGUGAAAGGCCAAUCAAACCGGGAGAUAGCUGGUUCUCCCCGAAAGCUAUUUAGGUAGCGCCUCGUGAACUCAUCUUCGGGGGUAGAGCACUGUUUCGGCUAGGGGGUCAUCCCGACUUACCAACCCGAUGCAAACUACGAAUACCGAAGAAUGUUAUCACGGGAGACACACGGCGGGUGCUAACGUCCGUCGUGAAGAGGGAAACAACCCAGACCGCCAGCUAAGGUCCCAAAGUCAUGGUUAAGUGGGAAACGAUGUGGGAAGGCACAGACAGCCAGGAUGUUGGCUUAGAAGCAGCCAUCAUUUAAAGAAAGCGUAAUAGCUCACUGGUCGAGUCGGCCUGCGCGGAAGAUGUAACGGGGCUAAACCAUGCACCGAAGCUGCGGCAGCGACACUAUGUGUUGUUGGGUAGGGGAGCGUUCUGUAAGCCUGCGAAGGUGUGCUGUGAGGCAUGCUGGAGGUAUCAGAAGUGCGAAUGCUGACAUAAGUAACGAUAAAGCGGGUGAAAAGCCCGCUCGCCGGAAGACCAAGGGUUCCUGUCCAACGUUAAUCGGGGCAGGGUGAGUCGACCCCUAAGGCGAGGCCGAAAGGCGUAGUCGAUGGGAAACAGGUUAAUAUUCCUGUACUUGGUGUUACUGCGAAGGGGGGACGGAGAAGGCUAUGUUAGCCGGGCGACGGUUGUCCCGGUUUAAGCAUGUAGGCUGGUUAUCCAGGCAAAUCCGGAUAAUCAAGGCUGAGGUGUGAUGACGAGGCACUACGGUGCUGAAGUAACAAAUGCCCUGCUUCCAGGAAAAGCCUCUAAGCAUCAGGUAACAUCAAAUCGUACCCCAAACCGACACAGGUGGUCAGGUAGAGAAUACCAAGGCGCUUGAGAGAACUCGGGUGAAGGAACUAGGCAAAAUGGUGCCGUAACUUCGGGAGAAGGCACGCUGGUGUGUAGGUGAAGCCCCUGCGGGUGGAGCUGAGACCAGUCGAAGAUACCAGCUGGCUGCAACUGUUUAUUAAAAACACAGCACUGUGCAAACACGAAAGUGGACGUAUACGGUGUGACGCCUGCCCGGUGCCGGAAGGUUAAUUGAUGGGGUUAUCCGUAAGGAGAAGCUCUUGAUCGAAGCCCCGGUAAACGGCGGCCGUAACUAUAACGGUCCUAAGGUAGCGAAAUUCCUUGUCGGGUAAGUUCCGACCUGCACGAAUGGCGUAAUGAUGGCCAGGCUGUCUCCACCCGAGACUCAGUGAAAUUGAACUCGCUGUGAAGAUGCAGUGUACCCGCGGCAAGACGGAAAGACCCCGUGAACCUUUACUAUAGCUUGACACUGAACAUUGAGCCUUGAUGUGUAGGAUAGGUGGGAGGCUUUGAAGCGUGGACGCCAGUCUGCGUGGAGCCAACCUUGAAAUACCACCCUUUAAUGUUUGAUGUUCUAACGUUGGCCCCUUACCGGGGUUGCGGACAGUGUCUGGUGGGUAGUUUGACUGGGGCGGUCUCCUCCCAAAGCGUAACGGAGGAGCACGAAGGUUAGCUAAUCCUGGUCGGACAUCAGGAGGUUAGUGCAAUGGCAUAAGCUAGCUUGACUGCGAGCGUGACGGCGCGAGCAGGUGCGAAAGCAGGUCAUAGUGAUCCGGUGGUUCUGAAUGGAAGGGCCAUCGCUCAACGGAUAAAAGGUACUCCGGGGAUAACAGGCUGAUACCGCCCAAGAGUUCAUAUCGACGGCGGUGUUUGGCACCUCGAUGUCGGCUCAUCACAUCCUGGGGCUGAAGUAGGUCCCAAGGGUAUGGCUGUUCGCCAUUUAAAGUGGUACGCGAGCUGGGUUUAGAACGUCGUGAGACAGUUCGGUCCCUAUCUGCCGUGGGCGCUGGAGAAUUGAGGGGGGCUGCUCCUAGUACGAGAGGACCGGAGUGGACGCAUCACUGGUGUUCGGGUUGUCAUGCCAAUGGCACUGCCCGGUAGCUAAAUGCGGAAGAGAUAAGUGCUGAAAGCAUCUAAGCACGAAACUUGCCCCGAGAUGAGUUCUCCCUGAGACUUUAAGUCUCCUGAAGGAACGUUGAAGACGACGACGUUGAUAGGCCGGGUGUGUAAGCGCAGCGAUGCGUUGAGCUAACCGGUACUAAUGAACCGUGAGGCUUAACCUU